Long non-coding RNA from Ctenopharyngodon idella (grass carp), 2157 nucleotides. RefSeq lists it as uncharacterized. The transcript has 4 exons. The record is from RefSeq and is a predicted model, not a curated record. NCBI's taxonomy places the organism in Eukaryota, Metazoa, Chordata, Actinopteri, Cypriniformes, Xenocyprididae.
UGAUCCACUUGCCCCAGACCUGAGGUCUCACUCUAAGCAGAGAGACACGGCCACUGGCGCUGCUGCAGAGGAAGUGCAUGACUGAAUCUACGGCCUAAAGUCUUAGAGACAGAGAGGAAGAGAGAGGGAGAUGAGCUGUGUCAGAGUCCAGUCUUGCUCUGGGACGGUAGACUGACUGAAGCUGCCGGUAAAGCACUGAGUUUUCACAGCUGUGCAUCUCCGUCACUCUGGAGUCAUGAGCUCAAAGGGGACGAACCUCCACAACAAACGUCUUCCGUCGGAGACAGAACAUACACAAAGAGUCCCAGACACAGAGUCUGCCCAGCAAAUGAGGCUGAGAGAGAGACAACGAUUCUUUGAGGAGGUGUUUCAACAUGAUGUGGACGUCUACCUCUCCUCUGCACACCUGCAGAUAGAUUAUAAGAGACCUCCCUUAGGAAGCAUCUCAUCAAUGGAGGUGAACGUCGAUAUGCUAGAACAGAUGGACCUGAUGGACAUCUCUGAUCAGGAGACCUUGGAUGUCUUCUUCAGCGCCAGCGGAGAGGAAGGAGGACUGACAUCUCCUCUUCCAGCGCUUGGUCACACUGAAAUAGAAGAGGAUGGAUUGCGGAGAAGUGACGUGUCCUUGAGAAUUUCUGACACUUGUGAGAUCAAAACACGUAUGUUGUCCACUUCUUCCAACUCCACCUGUGACAGUCAGGCCUCCAAUGAGGACGGAUCAAACACUCCUGUCGUCCAAUCAGAUGAUGAAGACGUGCAAGAAGAUAGCCUGUUGCAAACAGGAGUGCGCACAGCCAACAAUGCCGCAAAAGAGCCCCUGCCCUCUGCCCUCUCAUUAUAACCUGCCUUCCUAUUUAUUACUGACAGUUUGGAAAGUGUUUCAGGGUUGGGUUGAGUGGUUUUAGCCAUAAAUCAAUCUACCAAAGACCUUCAUGAAAGCUUGCGAAGUUCAACGCAUUCAAGGCCCCUAUUACGCCACACUGGGAGUGUCAUGCUUCGACAGACCUGCAUUUUUGUAUUAUCACUUGCAUUUCAUCAACAUUUUACUAUAUCUUUCGCUGUUUUUGGGAAAAAAAAUAUCUGCAGGUAUAGUGACACCACAUACACACCACCAGUAUUUUGCAAUUUUCUUCACGAAGAUUGAAGCUGAUCUGUAGAGAGACCAAAGGCAUCAUUUUUUUUAAAUUAAAACUGCUGAGGUGAGUUUCACAAAAAUAUUUCACCUCAAAUAUCAAAAGAAAACAAAAUAUUAAAAAAUAAACUUCUCGUUUACACCAUUAAAAAGCCAGUUCACAUUUUCAUUUUUGGUUUCAUAAUUUCAUAAUGAAUAAUUUAAUCAUAUUCAUUUUUGGUAGAACUACAGUAUCCGUAUAAGUAUAUAUUUUUUGGCAUCUUGGCAUUAUUUUAAAUUCAUGCAUUUAGUUGACACUCUUUUCCAGAGUGUCUGUUGCAUUGAAUAUAUGCAUUUUAUCAGUUUAUCCAUUUCCUGGGAAUUGAACCAUGAUCUUGACAUUGUUAGCACCAUGGUCAUGCUCUACUUUUUCCCCUUUUCUUUUCUUUGUAAUUUUUGUGAAUCUUAAUGUGUGAUUCUCAUUAAAUUAUUACUGCAUUUUUUGUUAUUACAAUAAACAUGUUUUUUAAAUUUAAAUCAACAAAAAAGGCAAUACAACAAAUACUAGCAUGGUGUACAAAUACAGUAUUAAUACAGUAUAAUAAAUUCUUAAUGAGAAUUUAAGAAGAAAUGUGCUUACUUGUUAUGAAAAUAAUGUCACAAUGCAAAAAAACCUUAAUGGGCAUUCAUUUUAUUUGAAUGGUUUGCCUUUAUUUACAAGAGAGUAAACAAUAAAGUAGGGGUGAGAGGAUGGGGAAUGGACCCAUAAUUGAACCUGGGUACUAUGAGCUCACUGUCAUGUCAUGACCUGUAAGCGUUUUCACUGAAAGAAGAUGCAACUGCACUGAUAGACUUCAUUUUCUUUAAGCAAAAUAUAAUUUUUUACCUCUGUUGGUUGUGUAUUUUUUUUUUUUUUUAAAUUGUCAGAAUUGUAGCUUUCUUCUUCUUCUUCUUUUGAUCAUGUGCUGAGGAUAUGUCUUCCUCUCUGAUGUCAACAACACCUUAUGCUUUGCUAUCAAAAUAAAGCCAAAUGCCAGUAAAAAGUA